GCUUAUAAUGUCAUUUUAAAAUUCUCUUCAAAAACAAUCCCCACACUUUUCCUUCAAGGAAGCUAGCCUUAUUUUUGUUACUCCUGGUCCAAAAAUAAUGGAUAACUCUUGGUUUCUCACCUUUAUUGUAGGCUGUAUUGUGGGUUAUUUGAUAGGCAAGAACCAUUAAUAAAGGCUCAUAUUGCUGAUAGCCUUACAAGUUUCACAUUAACUGAAUUCGUUUGCCAAAAAUGGAUGUGGAUUGGGUGAUCACAUUUUUAGUUGGCUGUUUGGUUGGAUACAUGGUGGCCAGAAAUACCUAGGGGAGGAUAAAUGAAUGGAGUGAUAAAGAAGGCCCAGAACAUGUCUUGAAUGGCCAACCAAAGUACACCUGGGAUUCUAUGUACUAGAAUAUUUCUGCCUGCCUUAACUUCGAAAUCUGGACCCGUUUCCGACAGUAAAAUUCACUUGAAUAUUGGGAUCAAGAAUUGCAAGUCCUUUUCGAAUAACCCGCAUCCAAAUCAAAGAAGCAAAAUGACUCACGUUAUCUCCUUUGCCUUGGGCGUGAUUAUUGGAAUGAUGAGCUGCCGGAAGUGCUAGAUCCCUCAUCUAUUAAGCUGGAAGUAAUCUAAAUUUAUCAAGAAAAACACCUGUUAAAGUAUAAACAGUAAAAUAUAAUUAUAUUAUGAGAAGUUAA
Molecule: long non-coding RNA, 676 nt
Organism: Drosophila subpulchrella
Lineage: Eukaryota; Metazoa; Arthropoda; Insecta; Diptera; Drosophilidae
Exons: 2
Source: RefSeq, a predicted model, not a curated record